This 776-nucleotide ribosomal RNA is filed under the name uncultured Bacilli bacterium. Its description in RNAcentral is "bacterial SSU rRNA". It matches the Rfam family "Bacterial small subunit ribosomal RNA", at positions 28 to 776 of the family's 1533-position model. Lineage: Bacteria; Bacillati; Bacillota; Bacilli. The record is from RNAcentral.
GACGAACGCUGGCGGCGUGCCUAAUACAUGCAAGUCGAACGCUUUUUCUUUCACCGGAGCUUGCUCCACCGAAAGAAAAAGAGUGGCGAACGGGUGAGUAACACGUGGGUAACCUGCCCAUCAGAAGGGGAUAACACUUGGAAACAGGUGCUAAUACCGUAUAACACUAUUUUCCGCAUGGAAGAAAGUUGAAAGGCGCUUUUGCGUCACUGAUGGAUGGACCCGCGGUGCAUUAGCUAGUUGGUGAGGUAACGGCUCACCAAGGCCACGAUGCAUAGCCGACCUGAGAGGGUGAUCGGCCACACUGGGACUGAGACACGGCCCAGACUCCUACGGGAGGCAGCAGUAGGGAAUCUUCGGCAAUGGACGAAAGUCUGACCGAGCAACGCCGCGUGAGUGAAGAAGGUUUUCGGAUCGUAAAACUCUGUUGUUAGAGAAGAACAAGGAUGAGAGUAGAACGUUCAUCCCUUGACGGUAUCUAACCAGAAAGCCACGGCUAACUACGUGCCAGCAGCCGCGGUAAUACGUAGGUGGCAAGCGUUGUCCGGAUUUAUUGGGCGUAAAGCGAGCGCAGGCGGUUUCUUAAGUCUGAUGUGAAAGCCCCCGGCUCAACCGGGGAGGGUCAUUGGAAACUGGGAGACUUGAGUGCAGAAGAGGAGAGUGGAAUUCCAUGUGUAGCGGUGAAAUGCGUAGAUAUAUGGAGGAACACCAGUGGCGAAGGCGGCUCUCUGGUCUGUAACUGACGCUGAGGCUCGAAAGCGUGGGGAGCGAACAGG